RNAcentral lists this ribosomal RNA (480 nucleotides) under uncultured bacterium. RNAcentral's name for it is "partial 16S ribosomal RNA". It matches the Rfam family "Bacterial small subunit ribosomal RNA", at positions 29 to 507 of the family's 1533-position model. The record is from RNAcentral.
AUGAACGCUGGCGGCGUGCUUAACACAUGCAAGUCGAACGAAGCAUUUGCGACAGAUUUUUUCGGAAUGAAGUUGCUUAUGACUGAGUGGCGGACGGGUGAGUAACGCGUGGGUAACCUGCCUUGUACUGGGGGAUAGCAGCUGGAAACGGCUGGUAAUACCGCAUAAGCGCACAAUGUUGCAUGACAUGGUGUGAAAAACUCCGGUGGUAUAAGAUGGGCCCGCGUCUGAUUAGCUAGUUGGUGAGAUAACAGCCCACCAAGGCGACGAUCAGUAGCCGACCUGAGAGGGUGACCGGCCACAUUGGGACUGAGACACGGCCCAGACUCCUACGGGAGGCAGCAGUGGGGAAUAUUGCACAAUGGAGGAAACUCUGAUGCAGCGACGCCGCGUGAGUGAAGAAGUAAUUCGUUAUGUAAAGCUCUAUCAGCAGGGAAGAUAGUGACGGUACCUGACUAAGAAGCUCCGGCUAAAUACGUG